CAUGACAGGGGACUCCCAGGACAGGCUGUUGCUCCUUCGCAGGGCUGGCAGUACAUGGGCAAGUCACUAGUUCAGCUACCCACAUGCAAACCCAGACUAGGGAGCACUAAUCGAGCCAGCAACUUUAGCAGCGCUGUCCACUGAGGCAGCAUGCACUGAAGCUACUGAGGCAUCGUACUCUGGUGCAGAAUUACAUUGCCUUGUGGAUUCCUGCAUCAUCCCGGGUCAGAAGAAGAAUCGAUGUUUGGCCUGGCUUUUGUACAAGGCAAACGUACUUUGAAGUGCUAACACGCUUAUGGAGAAGCAGAGAUCUUCAGGGACAACGCCUCUCCCUGCCAGCAGGGGGCGUGCAGCCCGCAUCCGGCCAUUGUAGGGGAUGGUGAGGCUGGAAGGGGGGGCACAAAGAGACAGCACCUCUAAGACUGUGCCAUGUUUCACGGUCCUUCGAGUGGCCAGCCAGCUGCCCUGGCCAAGGAGCUGCUGCAAUAAAAUCCCAUCCGGCCGCCGAAACACCGAAUCGAGACUGAAGAAAAAGUGCCAAGCCGAUUCAGCGUGGCUUUUGAAGGGAUCGCAACCCAACACCGGCGCAGACACUUGCUGAUAAUUAGGCUGUCAGCAGGGAAGGAGCGGCUGCUCUCCGAAGGUCAUGGCUCCGUAACAACAAAAUAGCCCAUGAUCGGUGUGGUGAGCGGACAGCAGACAGCAUCGCGGGUCCCUGGGAGCGCCAGCGGACCGCUAAGGAUAGAACAAGCUCCGGAGCCCAGUAGGGCAUCCCGUUUGGACGUGACGGCAAUGCUGAAGGAACAUCAGCUUCCCAGGUGGGGCAUGGGAGGUGAAGGUGUAACGGGAAAUGAGGGAGAGAGAGGCAUGGGGAAAGAAGAACAGCUCCCUUUUUGCAGCUUUCUUCUGGUCCUUUCACUGGAAAGGCAAGUAGAAGAAUAUGGCAGUAGAGCCUUCUGGAGACUCACAGAGUCACAGCCCAAGGGAGUCACAGCCCCAGGGAAUCGCGGUUGUAUUCCGGUGGCGGCGUAUAAGGAGGCAGGAACGGGGCACAGCUGCUGGGACGCGGUUCCACAGAUACUCUGGAUGCUCUGAGGAUUCUUGAGGGCUUUUACAUUUGGAUCAGACUCGCAGCCAAACCUGGCAUCCUAUCAAACCGGCAGCGGGAGUAAGGCGAACAGGCCUGCGAGAAUAGCAGCGUUACAACCACGUAAGUCUCCACAGCGUAAGCCAAACAGCAGGUGCCCGUGGUCCACUUCUCAUUAACUUCUCCGCUCAGCGAGACGGCAGGCCCGGCCUGAUGUUUGUGUGGUGCCACCGAGCCUUUCCCUGAACCAUAGCUACGUCGCCCGCUUCAUAACAUCGAAUAGGCGUCGCCCACCCCGGCUCAGCUUACUCAGAAGCAAUUCAGAUCGACCCAAAGCUCAUAAAACCCACAAACACUGUGGAGAGACCAAAUGUGCUGAAGGUGAGUUCAUCCUUAAUAAUAUUUAGAAAGUCAUGAACAUGGACGGGGUCAGGUGCUCCUUGGGAGAAACAGUGCAUGCUGUUCUUUACUCUACCGCAGUUGUUAAUUACUCUGUUGAAUAAUUAUUUGGACAGAAGCAGAUGUAAGUCAAUGUCUGGCUGGAGGUACAGAAAGCCCAGCUCUCAUUAAACAGCUGUUCCGCCGCCCUUCUCUAACGCAACCUGCCAGGAGCCGCAGGGUCAACGUGACCCCAGAAAGUGCCCCGUGAGGACCAGAGCCAGAGCUAGAUCCAGGAUAUCUCAUCUGCAGGUGUGGAGGAACGGGCUGCCAGACAGUCACGCAGUUUAUCUCCAGCGUG
Long non-coding RNA from Paramormyrops kingsleyae, 1826 nucleotides. RefSeq lists it as uncharacterized. The record is from RefSeq and is a predicted model, not a curated record. Lineage: Eukaryota; Metazoa; Chordata; Actinopteri; Osteoglossiformes; Mormyridae.